UCUCCGUAGGUGAACCUGCGGAGGGAUCAUUACAGAGUUCUCGCCCUCGCGGGUAGAUCUCCCACCCACUGUUAUCGUUACUGUGUUGCUUUGGCGGGCCGCCGGGCCCCGCUCGGCCGCCGACUCCGGCUGGCGCGCGCCCGCCAGAGGCCCAGCAAACUCUGAAUGUUAGUGUCGUCUGAGUACUAUAUAAUAGUUAAAACUUUCAACAACGGAUCUCUUGGUUCUG
This 229-nucleotide unclassified non-coding RNA is filed under the name plant metagenome. RNAcentral describes it as "partial contains small subunit ribosomal RNA, internal transcribed spacer 1, and 5.8S ribosomal RNA". The record is from RNAcentral.